AUUGAACGCUGGCGGCAUGCCUUACACAUGCGAGUCGAACGGCAGCACGGGUGCUUGCACCUGGUGGCGAGUGGCGAACGGGUGAGUAAUACAUCGGAACAUGUCCUUUCGUUGGGGAUAGCCCUGCGAAAGCCGGAUUAAUACCGCAUACGAUCUACGGAUGAAAGCGGGGGCCCUUCGGGCCUCGCGCUAUCGGGUUGGCCGAUGGCUGAUUAGCUAGUUGGUGGGGUAAAGGCCUACCAAGGCGACGAUCAGUAGCUGGUCUGAGAGGACGACAAGCCACACUGGGAGUGAGACACGGCCCGGACUCCGACGGGAGGCAGCAGGGGGGAAUUUUGGACAAUGGGCGCAAGCCUGAUCCAGCAAUGCCGCGUGGGUGAAGAAGGCCUUCGGGUUGAAAAGCCUUUUUGUGGGGAAAGAAAACCAGCACCUUAAUACCCCGGGGGGCUGACGGUACCGAAAGAAUAAGCACCGGCUAACUUCGUG
This 486-nucleotide ribosomal RNA is filed under the name uncultured bacterium. Its description in RNAcentral is "partial 16S ribosomal RNA". It matches the Rfam family "Bacterial small subunit ribosomal RNA", at positions 29 to 507 of the family's 1533-position model. The record is from RNAcentral.